This 859-nucleotide ribosomal RNA is filed under the name Pseudomonas aeruginosa. RNAcentral's name for it is "bacterial SSU rRNA". It matches the Rfam family "Bacterial small subunit ribosomal RNA", at positions 55 to 873 of the family's 1533-position model. Lineage: Bacteria; Pseudomonadati; Pseudomonadota; Gammaproteobacteria; Pseudomonadales; Pseudomonadaceae. The record is from RNAcentral.
AUGCAGUCGAGCGGAGAAGGGAGCUUGCUCCUGGAUUCAGCGGCGGACGGGUGAGUAAUGCCUGGGAAUCUGCCUGGUAGUGGGGGAUAACGUCCGGAAACGGGCGCUAAUACCGCAUACGUCCUGAGGGAGAAAGUGGGGGAUCUUCGGACCUCACGCUAUCAGAUGAGCCUAGGUCGGAUUAGCUAGUUGGUGGGGUAAAGGCCUACCAAGGCGACGAUCCGUAACUGGUCUGAGAGGAUGAUCAGUCACACUGGAACUGAGACACGGUCCAGACUCCUACGGGAGGCAGCAGUGGGGAAUAUUGGACAAUGGGCGAAAGCCUGAUCCAGCCAUGCCGCGUGUGUGAAGAAGGUCUUCGGAUUGUAAAGCACUUUAAGUUGGGAGGAAGGGCAGUAAGUUAAUACCUUGCUGUUUUGACGUUACCAACAGAAUAAGCACCGGCUAACUUCGUGCCAGCAGCCGCGGUAAUACGAAGGGUGCAAGCGUUAAUCGGAAUUACUGGGCGUAAAGCGCGCGUAGGUGGUUCAGCAAGUUGGAUGUGAAAUCCCCGGGCUCAACCUGGGAACUGCAUCCAAAACUACUGAGCUAGAGUACGGUAGAGGGUGGUGGAAUUUCCUGUGUAGCGGUGAAAUGCGUAGAUAUAGGAAGGAACACCAGUGGCGAAGGCGACCACCUGGACUGAUACUGACACUGAGGUGCGAAAGCGUGGGGGAGCAAACAGGAUUAGAUACCCUGGUAGUCCACGCCCGUAAACGAUGUCGACUAGCCCGUUGGGAUCCUUUGAGAUCUUUAGUGGGCGCAGCUAACGCCGAUUAAGGUUCGACCCGCCCUGGGGGAGUAGGACCGGCAUGGAUGA